GCCACUUUCUUACAAGUUGACGAUUAGCCAACCUGGCUUCCGUAUAUAUAUACUAUUGGAGACGAAAGUUACGUUUCCCCCGAAUGUAUAAUAAUAUAAAAUAAUAUAUAAUAUAAGUACGCCGUCCUAAACUUUCUGCCUUUAGCCUAACCAUAAGUAAAAUAAAAUAACAUUUUUCGGUUAGAUCAUUGUAAUCUGUGAAUAUUAUCAAGCGGAAAAUUUUAUUGAAUAUUUUUUUACGACGAAACUAUGACCCUUCACCAAAAUCAGUCUUGUGUCUAAUAUUUUCGCAAAAGUAUCAAUUGAAAUCUCAUUUGCAAUGAGUAAUGAAACUGUACUGUUUUUUCGAGGAAAUAACGAGGGAACACAUCGAGAGAUAUCAUCGUUGUUUAUGUGGACUACUUCCUCAGCCAAUUGAUGGAACGGGUUUGAAUGCUAAUGAUGUUUGGGAUGAUUCUGUUUUAAUCAAAGCAUAUGAUAAAGCUGUAAGCUUGGCAAAGGAAGAAGUUGCAAAACGACUUAGUAUAAACACUAAUCAUACUAAUCAGUAUGAUCAGAAAAAGUAUUAUCCGGCGAGUGCAACAGAAAAGAAAUGGGUUGUUGGGUCUCAUUGCCGAGCCGUCUAUUCGUUGGAUGGUAGAAUGUAUGAAGCAAUCAUCAUAAAAAUAUUCCAUGAUAUUGAUAAAUGUCUUGUCAAGUUCGUCGGUUAUGGAAACAUAGAGAAAGUAGAACUUUCAUCUUUAUAUACUUCAAGAGACAUAAAAAGUUCUUUAGAGCAACACGUAACUUCUGUUUCUUCGACUGAUAUUUCUAAGCAACAUAAUGCGAACAAACAAAAUAAUAAUGAUCGCGCUGGAAACAGACAUUCAACGAAUGAUGAUAUCCAUUCGUAUUAUAAGUCUUUUUCAUCAAAUUUAUCGGCUACUUCUGAAUUUGAAAUGCCGACAGCGCCACCACUUCCACCUCAAAUAUUGACACAACUUCCUAUUAAUAGUUCUGAUGCGCUUUCCAGUAUGCUAAUGUCUUGGUAUAUCAGUGGUUUUCACACAGUCCCAGUGACAGCAAUGGCUGCUACAGAUGAUAGGCUUUUGCUCCACCACCAACGUUUGAAGGCUGCUGAUGGAGUACUCCUUUCUCUGGUUUCCUGCUGGCCACCAACUGCUAGUGAGUAUACUAAGAGACUGCUACAACACAUCCAGCUGCGCACACAACAAAUUGGGGUGAAGUAGAAUGAGUUUAUCACUGCUUUGCCGAUAAAUAAAUCGCUGCCAGCCUAUUUUCUUGAGAGUAGCCUUUGGUUUCCCAAGUAACUGAAACACUCUGGAGGGCAGCAGCUUAUUAACCCAGACCUCGAAGUCUCGAGAAGAAAUCGGCCUGGCAUCCGGUGGUAGGUUUGCACAGAUAAGCAUGGAUGAAGACAACUUGCCGAGCUUGCGUUUGGCAGCAAUAGCAGAUUGCACAAGGUUACUAUCAUGGUAUUGGGCAAGUUCAACGAUUGAGAUCACACGAAAAACGGGAAAAAGCGGAAUAAUCAUCAAAUAUUAAUCAAACCCAAUCAGCUAAAAUU
This 1567-nucleotide unclassified non-coding RNA is filed under the name Chelonus insularis. RNAcentral's name for it is "survival motor neuron protein, transcript variant X2". Lineage: Eukaryota; Metazoa; Arthropoda; Insecta; Hymenoptera; Braconidae. The record is from RNAcentral.